AUUGAACGCUGGCGGCAGGCCUAACACAUGCAAGUCGAGCGGAUGAAGGGAGCUUGCUCCUGGAUUCAGCGGCGGACGGGUGAGUAAUGCCUAGGAAUCUGCCUGGUAGUGGGGGAUAACGUCCGGAAACGGGCGCUAAUACCGCAUACGUCCUGAGGGAGAAAGUGGGGGAUCUUCGGACCUCACGCUAUCAGAUGAGCCUAGGUCGGAUUAGCUAGUUGGUGGGGUAAAGGCCUACCAAGGCGACGAUCCGUAACUGGUCUGAGAGGAUGAUCAGUCACACUGGAACUGGGACACGGUCCAGACUCCUACGGGAGGCAGCAGUGGGGAAUAGUGGACAAUGGGCGAAAGCCUGAUCCAGCCAUGCCGCGUGUGUGAAGAAGGUCUUCGGAUUGUAAAGCACUUUAAGUUGGGAGGAAGGGCAGUAAGUUAAUACCUUGCUGUUUUGACGUUACCAACAGAAUAAGCACCGGCUAACUUCGUG
This 484-nucleotide ribosomal RNA is filed under the name uncultured bacterium. RNAcentral describes it as "partial 16S ribosomal RNA". It matches the Rfam family "Bacterial small subunit ribosomal RNA", at positions 30 to 507 of the family's 1533-position model. The record is from RNAcentral.